Small nuclear RNA from Rhea pennata, 164 nucleotides. RefSeq annotates it as U1 spliceosomal RNA. The record is from RefSeq and is a predicted model, not a curated record. Lineage: Eukaryota; Metazoa; Chordata; Aves; Rheiformes; Rheidae. The transcript has a single exon.
GCACUUACCUGGCAGGGGAGACACCAUGAUCAGACUGCUGGGUUUCCCAGGGUGAGGCUCAUCUUUUGCACUCCGGGUAUGCUGAUCCCUGCAAUUCUCCCAAAUGUGGAAAAAUCGACUGCAUAAUUUGUAGUAGUGGAUGACUGUGUUCACACUAUUUUUAU